GAUGAACGCUGGCGGCGUGCCUAAUACAUGCAAGUCGAGCGAACAGACGAGGAGCUUGCUCCUCUGACGUUAGCGGCGGACGGGUGAGUAACACGUGGAUAACCUACCUAUAAGACUGGGAUAACUUCGGGAAACCGGAGCUAAUACCGGAUAAUAUAUUGAACCGCAUGGUUCAAUAGUGAAAGACGGUUUUGCUGUCACUUAUAGAUGGAUCCGCGCCGCAUUAGCUAGUUGGUAAGGUAACGGCUUACCAAGGCAACGAUGCGUAGCCGACCUGAGAGGGUCAUCGUCCACACUGGAACUGAGACACGGUCCAGACUCCUACGGGAGGCAGCAGUAGGGAAUCUUCCGCAAUUGGCGAAAGCCUGACGGAGCAACGCCGCGUGAUUGAUGAAGGCCUUCGGAUCGUAAAACUCUGUUAUUAGGGAAGAACAAAUGUGUAAGUAACUAUGCACGUCUUGACGGUACCUUAUCAGAAAGCCACGGCUAACUACGUG
RNAcentral lists this ribosomal RNA (497 nucleotides) under uncultured bacterium. Its description in RNAcentral is "partial 16S ribosomal RNA". It matches the Rfam family "Bacterial small subunit ribosomal RNA", at positions 28 to 507 of the family's 1533-position model. The record is from RNAcentral.